UACGAUAACAUAAAAAAUAAAGUAAUAAUUGAUAACAAACAAAUCUCCAUGCUAUCAUUGAAUUAGUACAUCGAAUAAUUAAUUAUAGCAUAAACGAUUAUAAGCAUAAGCAUUAGGCGAUAAUCCUACUAUAUUAUUUGGGAAGUACAUUUUAAAUGUAACCUUAAUUUUUGUAAGUAAUUACAUAGGUAUGCCAUUAGAAAUAAAAUUUUAAAGAGUAAAUUAAUUUAUCUUUUCAAGGAUUAAAAAGUCAAAUACUAAUUUAAAUAAUUAAAAUUAAUUAAAAAACGAAAUUAUUAUUAAUUUCUAAAAAUAAUAACCAAUCAAAAUCAACAUAUAAGAUUUGAUAUCUAAAUUUUAUUUAAUUUAAUUUAAUUAGAAAAACGAAAUACAUUAUUAAUUUCCAAAAAGUAACCAAUUAAAAUCAACAAAUUAUAUUUGAUAUCUAAAUUAUCAUAUUAAUGUUUUAUUAAUUAUUAUAGUUCACUUAUCAUCUUUAUAUGAUUCUAUUUUUGCGGAAAAAUAAUAUUAAGAAAACUUUCUACUGAGUAACGGGUCAUAAUUUGAAAUAUUUCUAUUCAAUUUCAUACAUAUUAUAUUGAAAAUUUAUAAUCUUAUAUACUACAAUAAUUAAUAACAUAUUAGAUGUGAUUCAAUUUUUAAUACAAGCUGGAAAAUCUUAGAAUUGACGGGUUCAGAUCGAUAUUAAUACAAGAUGGUAUACUACACAUGAAACUCUUAAAUUAAGAAUCAAACUACAAGUGUAUAAUUCUAAACACUAAACAAUAUAGAUAAUAUCAACAAAACAUAUACAACUCACAGUUUACUAUACAUUUAAAAUCAAAUAAAAUAAUAUCAUAUAUUUUUAAAUCAUCUUUACAAUAAAAGUUUUUAGUUUAACUAAAAUAUAAGCGUACUUGCGGUAUACUGCAGGUUAAUAUCUAGAUUAUAGGGCUUAUUGGAUCUAAAGACGGAUCAUCAAAGAUUUCCUAAACUGAAGCAAAAUAUACUGAAUAUUCAAAUAUCUAUCUGUUACCAAAUUAUAAACAAAUAAGUCAAUUUAAUAUUUUAUAUACGAAAUCAAUUAAAUCUUAAUCACAUAAAAAUUAGCACAAAAAAAAAGUAUUCAACAAUUACAAAAUUAUCAAAUCUUUGUAUUAUAUAAGUUUUGAUACUAUAUUCGAAUAAAAUGUAAUAUACUUUUUCAAUUUGAAUUCUUUAACUAAUUUAAGCUAACUAAUAUAUUUGCUAAUCUUAUACCUAUAAAAACCGACUAUAGUUUCUUAUCUCUAUAGUAUUUUUGCAAGACUUUUUUGGUGGAUUUGGAUAAAAGUGCAUUCGGGUCAUAUGGUACAUUCCCCUAUUAAAUAAAUAUGGUGCACUCCUAUGUUAUUAGCUAAAAAUUUUAGAUUAUAAUUCAGAGUCAUAUCAUAAAUAAAAUUAAUAUUAAUAAAAUAAAUGACUUUUUAGCAAGACGGAUUUGGAGGGACGGGUUUUUUGAAUCAACAUUAAUAAAAAAGUAAAAUAUAAU
This 1531-nucleotide small RNA is filed under the name Arabidopsis thaliana (thale cress). RNAcentral describes it as "ATSL173970". The record is from RNAcentral. Lineage: Eukaryota; Viridiplantae; Streptophyta; Magnoliopsida; Brassicales; Brassicaceae.